Small nuclear RNA from Frieseomelitta varia, 193 nucleotides. RefSeq annotates it as U2 spliceosomal RNA. The record is from RefSeq and is a predicted model, not a curated record. NCBI's taxonomy places the organism in Eukaryota, Metazoa, Arthropoda, Insecta, Hymenoptera, Apidae. The transcript has a single exon.
AUCGCUUCUCGGCCUGAUGGCUAAGAUCAAAGUGUAGUAUCUGUUCUUAUCAGCUUAAUAUCUGAUACACCCUCCAUAGGAGGGUAAGAAUAUUAGCCUGAUUUUUGGAAAUUGGCAGAGGUUUUGGAGCUUGCUCCACCUCUGCUCUGGGUUUACCCGGCAUUGCAGUGCCGCUGGGAGAGGCCCACAUAAA